AGAGAGAGAGAGAGAGGAGGUAAAAAUAAUAAUAACAAGAAUAAUAAGUAGUGUUUCUCACCGGUGUUUGUUCGUCCCUGUUUGUUAGUGUCUGUCCGUUUUGUUUGUCUCUUUAUUUUGGCUACCAGUGCCGUGCCCUGUGUUUUGUGUUCCAACCUUUUAUUUUCUGUUCUGUUCUGUUUAAUUAUUAAAUGCUGAGCGCAAUCACGCGCCCAGCCUCACCAAAACCCCAAGUCUCUAUUGUUUAUUUCCUGCUUCUGGUCUGACGCCACCCACUCCGGCCGUCUUUGUGAUACAGUCCCAGUCUGAGACUGAUCAUCGUUAAACAGUUUUGGUUGAUGGCUGGUUUUAUGGUUCAGACUGAAUCAUUGGACCAUCUACAGGUUCAUGUAAUUGUCAAGUCUAGCCUCGUAGCCUAGAAAGGAUGUACUCUGGAUAUUCUAAUGUUCAGGUUGAACAUAUCUGACCAAUCGAAUUCUUUAUAUUGAAACUACCAACAAUGUUGUUGCAGGUAAUGAAACCUGUCUUUCGACACAAAAUGAUGAACAUAGCUGCUUGUUUUUAACAUUGUCUUGUGGUGGCUGUUCCUUAGAACUGGGCAAGCUCUACACAUGCACACCAAAGCACCUUGACUACAAAAGGGAUGUGUU
This is a long non-coding RNA of Acipenser ruthenus (sterlet), 650 nucleotides long. RefSeq lists it as uncharacterized. The record is from RefSeq and is a predicted model, not a curated record. NCBI's taxonomy places the organism in Eukaryota, Metazoa, Chordata, Actinopteri, Acipenseriformes, Acipenseridae. The transcript has 3 exons.